This 539-nucleotide ribosomal RNA is filed under the name uncultured bacterium. Its description in RNAcentral is "bacterial SSU rRNA". It matches the Rfam family "Bacterial small subunit ribosomal RNA", at positions 8 to 526 of the family's 1533-position model. The record is from RNAcentral.
AGAGUUUGAUCAUGGCUCAGAUUGAACGCUGGCGGCGUGCCUAACACAUGCAAGUCGAGCGGUAACGCGGGAGCAAUCCUGGCGACGAGCGGCGAACGGGUGAGUAAUGCUUCGGAAUCUGCCCAAUGAUGGGGAAUAACCAGCCGAAAGGUUGGCUAAUACCGCAUGACAUCCUGUCUUUGGAAAGACGGAGAUCAAAGCCGGGGAUCGCAAGACCUGGCGCUCAGAGAGGGGCCCGCGGCCGAUUAGCUAGUUGGUGAGGUAACGGCUCACCAAGGCGACGAUCGGUAUCCGGCCUGAGAGGGCGGACGGACACACUGGGACUGAGACACGGCCCAGACUCCUACGGGAGGCAGCAGUGGGGAAUUGUUCGCAAUGGGCGCAAGCCUGACGACGCAACGCCGCGUGGAGGAUGAAGAUCUUCGGGUCGUAAACUCCUUUCGAUCGGGAAGAACGUUUUCGGGAUGAACAAUCUCGAGAAGUGACGGUACCGAGAGAAGAAGCCCCGGCUAACUCCGUGCCAGCCGCCGCGGUAAUAC